AUAAAUCCUGUGGAUUGGGUGAUUUGUGGUGGAAGUAGUGGCAAGACCUCUGGGAAGCAAAGGAAAAGCAGCAGCAGCAGCAGGAAAAUUUCAGCAGCUUGGGGCCAGCUCACCGGGAUUCCUAUGUCCAGCCGCACCACAGAUGGAGCCUCCGUGGUCUCCCCAGCAGCAGCUCUGGGUAGCUUGUGGCUAAGAUUCCAGCUUGGAGUAAUUCCCCAGAGCCACAAACCUCAGAGAGCAGCACCUCUAAGAGCAGAGCUGUUGCAAAGCCAAGAUUGCAAGCCAGAGGAAGAGAAAUGACCUGGAAGGAAGGGCAGGCUGGUUGCCUGGCCCUCCUGUUUCGUCCCAAGACAAGACGUCCCUGGACACCAGCUGGUGAGGCACCUCAACAUGUUUAAAGACAAUGUAUCCUAAUACACGCAGCUGCAUGUGCCAUGUUCUUGUAGCAUUGCUCAAAAAACAUUUCUUCAAAACUUCAAUGAUUUCCCACUUCC
This is a long non-coding RNA of Tachyglossus aculeatus (Australian echidna), 494 nucleotides long. RefSeq lists it as uncharacterized. The transcript has 3 exons. The record is from RefSeq and is a predicted model, not a curated record. Lineage: Eukaryota; Metazoa; Chordata; Mammalia; Monotremata; Tachyglossidae.